Molecule: ribosomal RNA, 292 nt
Filed under: uncultured bacterium
Lineage: Bacteria
Description: partial 16S ribosomal RNA
Rfam family: Bacterial small subunit ribosomal RNA
Source: RNAcentral
GUGCCAGCCGCCGCGGUAAUACGUAAGUGGCAAGCGUUAUCCGGAAUUACUGGGCAUAAAGAGUUUGUAGGCGGUUAAUCAAGCCAGCUAGUGAAAGCCAUCGGCCUAACCGAUGUAAGCUAAUGGAACUGGUUAACUUGAGUACAGGAGAGGAAAGUGGAAUUCCUAGUGUAGUAGUGAAAUGCGUAGAUAUUAGGAAGAACAUCAGUAGCGAAGGCGACUUUCUGGACUGUAACUGACGCUGUGGAACGAAAGCGUGGGGAGCGAACAGGAUUAGAUACCCCGGUAGUCC